AUGGCACUACGAUUUGGCAUAUUACUUGCACAAAAGGCAGGAAGCAACUGUCUUGUUUUUAACUCCGACAAUAUGAAAGUAAUUGACACAAUGAAGAAUAGAGGACAUUUAGCGAGAGUUGCGGCUGCUGUGUUUGAUGAUUGUUGUUUUAUGGCUUGUGAUGUUCCGUUAAUUAGAUUUGAACAUUGUAACAGGGAGACAAAUAAAGUAGCUCAUGAAAUUGCUAGAUUAGCUAAAUUUUCUGAGGCAAGGGAUUGAUUCGAGGAACCAUGA
This 273-nucleotide ribosomal RNA is filed under the name Triticum aestivum (bread wheat). Its description in RNAcentral is "partial small subunit ribosomal RNA". The record is from RNAcentral. Lineage: Eukaryota; Viridiplantae; Streptophyta; Magnoliopsida; Poales; Poaceae.